CUUCUUCAGCCCAUGCCUCCGGUUUCAGAAAUUAGUUUGUUUAUUCUUCUAGCUUUGAGGAAUAGAUAGACAUAUCCCUCCAACGAGCCUUUGACAGAGGUGCCAAUCAGCACAGCCUGAAAGGGAACAAGGAGGGAUGGAAGACUCAGAGGGAGGAAAAGGAAACAUGGGAAAAAAAGGUUAUCGGGACAGGUAAAACUAUCUGUGGCUACAGAGCAGAGGAACUUGUAACUUACUGAAUCUUGAAAGAAAUUUCUCAGUGUGAGGUUGCUGUGGAAUGGCUGGAUACAUUUGGUAGAGCAGAUGUCUUUCUGAGGAUCUUCCCAGCUCACAAUGCCUCUCAUAGUGACAGGACCCUGACAGCCAUAUUUCUGUCUGGACACAAACCCUAUGGCUAUUGGUUGGGACAGGGCAAACUGAAGCUUAAGCACCACGUUGUCCUCAGCUCAGCAGAACAAAUGGAACAAGUGCUGCUGCUUUUGAAGAGCUAUUACCAUGAAGAUUCUUAUUUAAAAUAUACUCAGCAAAUUAUUUAUUCCAAAGUGGCAUAAAUUCAUUUAUGGAAGACAUUAAAAAAUAUGUUCAUUAUCUUAUUCUAAGCAUCAAUUAAUUUACCUAUUCAUGCAUAUAUUCAUUCCAGCAGUAUUUAUUGAGGGCCUCCUAUAUGCCAGACCCUGUUCUAGCUCCUGGG
This 691-nucleotide long non-coding RNA is filed under the name Equus caballus (horse). RNAcentral's name for it is "lncRNA (ENSECAG00000053462.1)". Lineage: Eukaryota; Metazoa; Chordata; Mammalia; Perissodactyla; Equidae. The record is from RNAcentral.